This 253-nucleotide ribosomal RNA is filed under the name uncultured bacterium. Its description in RNAcentral is "partial 16S ribosomal RNA". It matches the Rfam family "Bacterial small subunit ribosomal RNA", at positions 524 to 776 of the family's 1533-position model. The record is from RNAcentral.
UACGGAGGGUGCAAGCGUUGUCCGGAUUCAUUGGGUUUAAAGGGUGCGCAGGCGGGACAUUAAGUCAGGGGUGAAAGACGGUUGCUCAACAAUCGCAGUGCCUUUGAUACUGGUGUUCUUGGGUGACCUUGAGGUAGGCGGAAUGGGUGGUGUAGCGGUGAAAUGCGCAGAUAUCAGGAGGAACACCGGUGGCGAAGGCGGGACUCUGGGCCGUAACUGACGCUGAGGAGCGAAAGCGUGGGGAGCGAACAGG